This 492-nucleotide ribosomal RNA is filed under the name uncultured bacterium. Its description in RNAcentral is "partial 16S ribosomal RNA". It matches the Rfam family "Bacterial small subunit ribosomal RNA", at positions 30 to 507 of the family's 1533-position model. The record is from RNAcentral.
AGUGAACGCUGGCGGUAGGCCUAACACAUGCGAGUCGAACGGAAGCAAGGAAAGGCCUGGCCCUUACGGGGGGGGGGUGGGGGAGGGGGGGGGAAAACAUCGAAAUCUACUUUUUGGGGGGGGUUAAGGAGGGGAAACUUAGGCAAUAACGGAAUCCGACCUCCGGGGGAAAGCAGGGGACCUUCGAACUUGCCGCGAUGGAUUGAGCCGAGGUCGGAUUGGCUAGUUGGCGGGGUAAAGGCCCACCAAGGCGACGAUCCGUAGCUGGUCUGAGAGGAUGAUCAGCCACACUGGAACUGAGACACGGUCCAGACUCCUACGGGAGGCAGCAGUGGGGAAUAUUGGACAAUGGGCGCAAGCCUGAUCCAGCCAUACCGCGUGGGUGAAGAAGGCCUUCGGGUUGUAAAGCCCUUUUGUUGGGAAAGAAAAGCAGCAGGUUAAUACCCCGCUGUUCUGACGGUACCCAAAGAAUAAGCACCGGCUAACUUCGUG